RNAcentral lists this long non-coding RNA (1462 nucleotides) under Fukomys damarensis (Damara mole-rat). Its description in RNAcentral is "lncRNA (ENSFDAG00000031819.1)". The record is from RNAcentral. Lineage: Eukaryota; Metazoa; Chordata; Mammalia; Rodentia; Bathyergidae.
CACACCUCCUGGCCUCCGGAACUCUCUCACCAAGGUAGAACUCACACGUAGAAGCACACCACAUCACACACGCGCGGUGAGUGUGUACAGUCAAAUUGACACGUGCGAAAUGAGGAGAAUCGAGAGACGGACCCUCCCGCACGGUGUCCCUCCGCACUCUUCCUCUGAUGGCAGCCACUUCUGACUCAGCCUGGUUCUCCCUGCGUUUGCGCUUCGCGUAAAGUAAUUUCUAGAAUAAGUGUGUGCUCUCGUGUGGUUGUCCCUUUCUUCACUCAACAUUGCACCUAUCAAUUUUGUCCGUUUUUAUGUGUGAAUUUAGGUCCUCUGUUAUUAGUGUUGAGUACUUUAUUAUUAUAUAAUCUAAAGCAUGUAUGGUCUGUGAGUGGAUGCGUGCGUGUGCUUUACACAACCAUUUCAAUAUUUGAGCAAUUUCUGGGUGUUACUGCUCUGAACAUCCUAGUACAUGGGUUUGGGUGAAAAUAUGCACAGAAUUUUAUUUGGAAUAUAUUUCAAGGUGGGAUUGUUAGGUGCAGGUGAAGUGUGCAUACCUACACCUUUGCUAGGUGCCAGCUCUCACAGUUACUGCUGGGCAGUGUUAAUUUCAAUUCUUUUGAAUUUUAUUAAUCAUCUGUAAAAUCCUAUCAAUAAUUUUUGCUAUGCUUAGUGCCUAUUGGACUUUAUAGCCUGAUGCUGCCGGGGUAUAUACACUUUCUGAAGUGUGUGUGCCCGUGCAUGUGCGUGUGAACUCUUGAGGACAUUUAACAUCCCUUACACUAUACUCUUCUGGACUCGUGUUGUCUCUCUGGUUAUUGGUAGCUGUGAGACGCGGACAGGUGACUUAAUCGCUUCACACCGCAGCAUCCUCCCGCCAAGAUUUAGGCAAUGAUGGUUCUCUGUCACAGAUCUGAUGUAAAGAUCCAGGAAGUUGUCAGAGACAUUUCCGGAAGAGUGCAUGGCAUCGCACGGUGUCUAAAUGUGAUUGCUUCAUUAUUCCUCCACAAGGGCCCGAACAGAAUCUGUCCAAACAGCCAAGCCACUGUGGACCAUCAUCCUCCCCAGGAUCCAGCAAGCCCUCUCCCAGGAGCUCAUCCAGGGGAGAUGCAGCCAGGACCAGGAGGAGGCACCUGCACCGCUGGGUCUGGGCAGCAGGGUACAGUGACCGGGAUACAGAAGGAGCCUAUGUCUGUCCACAGAUGAGCACAUACAAAACACACGGAUAUCACCUGUCCAGCAGAUGAAAUCCAGCCAGGACCCCGGAUUUAGUCACCCACCCUUUGCACUGUUGCUUAGCUGUCUCUCUCCUCUUGUCUUUUCGUUUUUCUGUUCUUCCAGCCAUUUCCAAUUCCAAAUCUUUAUUGCUUCUCUAUGCAAAGCAAUUUUAUUUCCUCUGUUUUCUUCUCUCUUUUUACUGCAUGUCUUUGAGAUGUUUUUGUCCUUCUGUUUCUAAAAGACUAAAUCAAGG